This 74-nucleotide transfer RNA is filed under the name Trogon personatus. RNAcentral's name for it is "tRNA-Ser". It matches the Rfam family "tRNA". From Rfam's summary of the family: Transfer RNA (tRNA) molecules are approximately 80 nucleotides in length. Their secondary structure includes four short double-helical elements and three loops (D, anti-codon, and T loops). The record is from RNAcentral. Lineage: Eukaryota; Metazoa; Chordata; Aves; Trogoniformes; Trogonidae.
AAGAAAGAAGCAUAAGUGGUUUAAUGCGGUUGGCUUGAAACCAGCGUACGAGGGUUCAACUCCUUCCUUUCUUG